UACGGUCACAUUGCGUUGAAACACCGGUUUCCGUAUGAUCACCGAACUUAAGCAAAGUCUAGCCUUGUCAGUACCCAAAUGGAUGACCGCUUGGGAAUACCAGGUGCUGUAAG
Non-coding RNA from Acanthosepion pharaonis, 113 nucleotides. The record is from the annotation of a GenBank genome assembly. NCBI's taxonomy places the organism in Eukaryota, Metazoa, Mollusca, Cephalopoda, Sepiida, Sepiidae.